Molecule: ribosomal RNA, 480 nt
Filed under: uncultured bacterium
Lineage: Bacteria
Description: bacterial SSU rRNA
Rfam family: Bacterial small subunit ribosomal RNA
Source: RNAcentral
CUGGCUCAGGACGGACGCUGGCGGCGUGCUUCAUACAUGCAAGUCGAACGAGAAGCUGACUUCGGUCAGUGGAAAGUGGCGGACGGGUGAGUAAUAUGUAGAGAAUCUGCCCUUGAGUGGGGGACAACAGAGGGAAACUUCUGCUAAUACCCCAUAUGAGCUAACUUGAAAUAGUUAUCUUGAAAACUCCGGUGCUCAAGGAUGAGUCUGCAUCUGAUUAGCUAGUUGGCGGUGUAAUGGACCACCAAGGCGACGAUCAGUAGCUGGUUUGAGAGGAUGAUCAGCCACAAUGGGACUGAGACACGGCCCAUACUCCUACGGGAGGCAGCAGUAGGGAAUUUUGCGCAAUGGGCGAAAGCCUGAACCGCAGCAACGCCGCGUGAACGAUUAAGCCCUUCGGGGUGUAAAGUUCUGUCAGUAGGGACGAAUUUUGACGGUACCUACAGAGGAAGCACCGGCUAACUCCGUGCCAGCAGCUGC